CCUCUAUCUGUGUUUUUAGCUGUUUAAAGGAUGGUAUACUCUAUCUGUGUUCUAACUGUUUAUAGGAUGGUAGCUUCUAUCUGUGUUUCUAUUGGUUUAAACAGGAGGUGAGUUUGACUAACAUUUAGCUCCACCUAUUAGAUUGCAGAUCGCUGGUCGAGCUCCGCCUUUCAAGUGCAACACACACACGCGCGCACACACUCCAGCACUUUGCAUCGCUUUGCAGUGCGCGUGCGCGUGCAGGUCGACACCGAAGGUGCUGCACGUUCAGCACACAGCGCGAGCCUCUGCGGCCUCUGCGGCACGGGGCCGCGCGGGCCCGGUAGGGGUAGCAGCUGGAGCCGGUUUGCCCCCUCGCGCCCCUGACCCGCAUGGAUUUACCCCAUGGAUGACUCGGACGGCGCGGAGGCCGAGCGCGCGCCCCCGCGCGUGCCCGUGGCGACCGGGGCUGGCGGCUGGGGGACGGACGGGACCGGGGGGGAGUUUCCCGGCAGGUACGUCAUCGCGGAACCGAGCACGGCGCACGAGGAGGAGGAAGAUGAAGAAGAGGAUGAGGAGGACGAGGCGCGCGGGCGCGGGGCGCAGCUGCACGAUUUAAAUUAGGCCAAUUGUCCCACUCAUUCAGCCGCUACUCAGCUGUAUAUCCCCCAUCACAAGUGAUGCCACAACGCAUAGACAGCACAAGGAGGGUGAAAACUAGCACAUGCCUCCUCUGACACACGUGAAGUCAGCCACUGCCUCUUUUCGAACUGCAGAGUAGCCAGCGCGACUUGGUUUUGAUACAUCAGCUAAGGACUUGUACUGAUGGACAUCACCCAAGGAGUGAUGAAGCGAAAGAGUGCCAUCUACCCACCCAGAGAGAACAAGGGCUCCGGCAGCUAAUGGCAAGAUACAUGACUGGGAUUUAAACCAGCGAUCUCCCAAACAUGGGGGCAGCACCGCUGGACCACUUGUCACCUGAGAUUGGUGGAAUUGUAAGGCAGUUCUGCUUAGAGUCCACAAACACACAAAUGAAUCCAGUUGAGUUUGGAAUGAACAACAUAUAGGAUGUUGGGAAACCCAACAAACACACAAAUCUGCUACUAUGCUUUCUACUUUUUUAUAAUGUCACUACAACAUUGUUCAAACGUUGCACUGUUAAUGUUUUAUUAACAGUGUUGUCACAGUGUUGCUUAUCAUUAGGUAACUACCUUCACUGUUUUCCAAUAUUCCAAUCAUGUUCCAAUAAUCAUUAUCUAACCAUAGAACACAUCAUAUAUUGUAGAGCAG
Molecule: long non-coding RNA, 1269 nt
Filed under: Astyanax mexicanus (Mexican tetra)
Lineage: Eukaryota; Metazoa; Chordata; Actinopteri; Characiformes; Acestrorhamphidae
Description: lncRNA (ENSAMXG00005016684.1)
Source: RNAcentral